Ailuropoda melanoleuca (giant panda) is the source of this 1026-nucleotide long non-coding RNA. RefSeq lists it as uncharacterized. The transcript has 2 exons. NCBI's taxonomy places the organism in Eukaryota, Metazoa, Chordata, Mammalia, Carnivora, Ursidae. The record is from RefSeq and is a predicted model, not a curated record.
GAACGAAGGGAGACCGGAGGGAGAAGCAGACUCCCGAGCAAAGAGCCGACAUGGGAUGAGAUCCCAGGAACCCGAGAUCGUGACUUGAGCCGAAGGCUUAACGGACUGAGCCGCCCUGACACCCCAGCGUGUGACUCUUGACCUCAGGGUUGGGAGUACAAGACCCACGCUGGGCACAGACAUUACUUAAAAAUAAGUAAGUGCAUGAAAGAACGAAGUGGCAUUAGAGACAAGUUUUCUGUUUGUCCUUUACCGCACAGCCCUUGUAAAUUGCUCUAUCGGUUUUAUUAUGUUUACAAGAUUUAGAAGAGGACGCUCUUCUUCAGCUCCUACCUAAAUGAAGAAAUCCCCCUGCACCUGCUCCAGCUCGUGACCUCAGCCCACAUCAGUUCUUUCCACGCCCUCCUGAAAGUCUCUGGAGCAUGUAGGCUUCACCACCAGGCUCCUCACAGCUGAAGCUGUCUUCAUGGCACCUGCUCCUGGUCCCUCAUCAGUCCUUCCCAGCUGCUGCUUCUCUGCACAUGUAAGCACUCCUCCUGUCAUCUCAGUGAAAUAUACCACCAGCAGAGGCUUCAGAAUCAACUGAAGAACUUGGAGAACUUUUCAUAAACAUAGCACUUAAGCUCCAUGGAUCUUCUAUGUCAGAAUCUUCCAGGGUGGGGCAUGGCCAUUGAUUUUUAAAGAGCUUCAGCAGCAGUUCUGUUGUCAACCCAAGCUUGCUGCGAAUCUUCACUUGGAAACACCCUUCUCUACCCACACCAAGCUUAUCUCAAACUAAUUCAUCACUCUUUCUCCAAAACUGAUCCUUCUCCUGUCUUUUAUGUUUCUAUUACUACUAUACCUAGGUAAAUUAUCUAGGCCUAAAACACCAACUAGAAAUUCCUUUUUCCUUAUUACUGAACUGCAAGUUGGAGGACAUGUAAUGAAGCUAUUUCCAGACCUAUUUUAUCUUACUAGGCUAUAACUUCGUUGAUAGUUAUUACACUUUUUUUUUUAAAGAUUUUAUUUAUUUAUUCGACAGAGAUA